This 345-nucleotide unclassified non-coding RNA is filed under the name soil metagenome. RNAcentral describes it as "partial contains 5.8S ribosomal RNA, internal transcribed spacer 2, and large subunit ribosomal RNA". The stretch from base 1 to 119 matches the Rfam family "5.8S ribosomal RNA", at positions 35 to 154 of the family's 154-position model. The record is from RNAcentral.
GAUGAAGAACGUAGCGAAAUGCGAUAAGUAAUGUGAUUUGCAAAUUCAGUGAAUCAUCGAGUCUUUGAACGCACAUUGCGCCCCCUGGUAUUCCGGGGGGCAUGCCUGUCCGAGCGUCAUUGCUGCCCUCAAGCACGGCUUGUGUGUUGGGCCCCGUCCUCCGAUCCCGGGGGACGGGCCCGAAAGGCAGCGGCGGCACCGCGUCCGGUCCUCGAGCGUAUGGGGCUUUGUCACCCGCUCUGUAGGCCCGGCCGGCGCUUGCCGAUCAACCCAAAUUUUUAUCCAGGUUGACCUCGGAUCAGGUAGGGAUACCCGCUGAACUUAAGCAUAUCAAUAAGCGGAGGA